GACGAACGCUGGCGGCGCGCUUAACACAUGCAAGUCGAACGGAAAGGCCUGCUUUCCCUUGUGGAUUGCGGGUACUCGAGUGGCGAACGGGUGAGUAACACGUGAGUGAUCUGCCCCCAACUUGGGUAUAAGCCUGGGAAACUGGGUCUAAUUCCCGAUAGGACUGCAGGGUGGUGCCUGUGGUGGAAAACGAUUUUCUAGUGGUUGGGGAUGAGCUCGCGGCCUAUCAGCUUGUUGGUGGGGUAAUGGCCUACCAAGGCGGCGACGGGUAGCCGGCCUGAGAGGGUGGACGGCCACAUUGGGACUGAGAGACGGCCCAGACUCCUACGGGAGGCAGCAGUGGGGAAUAUUGCACAAUGGGCGGAAGCCUGAUGCAGCGACGCCGCGUGGGGGAUGACGGCCUUCGGGUUGUAAACUCCUUUCGACCGCGAGGAAGCCACCUGGUUGGAAGGGUGGUGACGGUAGUGGUAGAAGAAGCACCGGCUAACUACGUG
This 494-nucleotide ribosomal RNA is filed under the name uncultured bacterium. Its description in RNAcentral is "partial 16S ribosomal RNA". It matches the Rfam family "Bacterial small subunit ribosomal RNA", at positions 28 to 507 of the family's 1533-position model. The record is from RNAcentral.